Molecule: transfer RNA, 82 nt
Filed under: Candidatus Omnitrophota bacterium
Lineage: Bacteria; Pseudomonadati; Candidatus Omnitrophota
Also listed under: 1 other name
Description: tRNA-Leu
Rfam family: tRNA
About the family: Transfer RNA (tRNA) molecules are approximately 80 nucleotides in length. Their secondary structure includes four short double-helical elements and three loops (D, anti-codon, and T loops).
Source: RNAcentral
GCGCAGGUGGCGGAAUUGGUAGACGCGCACGUUUGAGGGGCGUGUGGGGUAUCCCAUGAGGGUUCAAGUCCCUCCCCGCGCA